Humulus lupulus (European hop) is the source of this 1215-nucleotide long non-coding RNA. RefSeq lists it as uncharacterized. The transcript is spliced from 2 exons. The record is from RefSeq and is a predicted model, not a curated record. NCBI's taxonomy places the organism in Eukaryota, Viridiplantae, Streptophyta, Magnoliopsida, Rosales, Cannabaceae.
AUAUAAAAUUUUAUGCGUGUAUAUGUUUUAUUUUUAGGGUUCCUUGGCAAAAUAGCCUCUUUUUAUAGUGCAAUUUGCACUUUGGCCUAGUUUCAAUAGUUUUUAGCUAAAUAACAUCUUUUAUUAAUGAAUUUUUUGUAUUACCCAUUUUACCCUUAAAAUAAAAUAAUAAUAAAUUAAAACAAAAACCCUAAAAACUAUCGUCUUCUUCCUCUCACCCAUCCACCCACUCUCAUCCCACCGCCACCACCACCACCACCAGCGACCACUGUCCCUUGUCGCCGCCACCGCUGGCGAACACUGCUCAUCAUUAGCUGCCACCGUCUCUCCACAAAUCCGGCCACCACCCAUUCAAAAGAUGUAAUUAAAAAAUAUUGUAAUAUUAUGUGAGGAUUGUGGAAAAAGAAUGAAGACUCAUGGAAAUUGAUUUCAAAUGGCUCACGAUCAAGAUCAAGUUUGGUACAAACUAACCUAACUUAUGAGGAGUUAGUUGAAAACAUUUAUGAAGUUACAGAAAUCGAUCGCAACCUCUUCGAUAUAAAAUUAACUUACAAGAUAACGACAAUGGUGGAGAUUGAACCAAUUGCAAUAAAAAAUAGUACAGACAUUGUUAUUUUAUUUACCUGGCAAUUGCAAGAUAAGGACAAUGAUCGUAACAUUCUUGUACAUGUCGAGAGUUUGUCAUUGAUAAGAUUCCAUGUGCUCACGGCGUCGCUGCGACAAUGUAGUGUGGAGUAGAUGUAUAUAGCCUAUGCUCAAAUACACGACUGAAUUUUGGAGGAUGGCUUAUGCAGAAUCUAUUUACCCUUUACCACCUGAAAUAGAACGACAUCUUCCAAAAGAGGUUAAGUCUCAAGUUGUUAUCAAACCAGUGAAGUUAAUUCCCCCAAGGAGACCAAAGAAUAAACAAAUUCCUUCGAGAUGAGAGUUUCCAAAGGAGAAGACUAAUUCUGCAUUUGAAUCGUCAUCAAAGAAAGUAAAGGGUAAGGUUUCUGAUGUUGAUGGGGGAAAAAAGCAACGGAAGUGUUCCAAUUAUGGAUGUUAUGGACACAACGAAACCACAUGCAAGAAAUUAUUAUUUUUGGAUUUAUUUUGGACUUGGUUUGAUAUGUAAUGUUUUGAUAAUAUUGUGUGAUUUCAUAUUUUGGACUUGAUUUGAUAUGUAAUGUUUUAACUAGGUUGUCUAAAUAUUGAAAAUGGUUGUUGAUAGUUUUA